Molecule: ribosomal RNA, 348 nt
Filed under: uncultured fungus
Lineage: Eukaryota; Fungi
Description: SSU rRNA
Rfam family: Eukaryotic small subunit ribosomal RNA
Source: RNAcentral
GUAGUCAUAUGCUUGUCUCAAAGAUUAAGCUAUGCAUGUCUAAGUAUAAGCAAUUUAUACAGUGAAACUGCGAAUGGCUCAUUAAAUCAGUUAUCGUUUAUUUGAUAGUUCCUUUACUACAUGGUAUAACUGUGGUAAUUCUAGAGCUAAUACAUGCUUAAAAUCUCGACCUUUGGAAGAGAUGUAUUUAUUAGAUAAAAAAUCAAUGUCUUCGGACUCUUUGAUGAUUCAUAAUAACUUUUCGAAUCGCAUGGCCUUGUGCUGGCGAUGGUUCAUUCAAAUUUCUGCCCUAUCAACUUUCGAUGGUAGGAUAGUGGCCUACCAUGGUUUCAACGGGUAACGGGGAAU